AGCUCCAAUAGCGUAUAUUAAAGUUGUUGUGGUUAAAAAGCUCGUAGUUGGAUUUCGGCGGGUAGUGGUUGGUUUGAAUUGAUUCAACACUGACUUUUUUACCCGUGUGUUUUGCCAGAAUCUUACGGGUGAUCUUUACCGAUUGUCCGUUGGAACUGGCAGGUUUACUUUGAAAAAAUUAGAGUGCUCAAAGCAAGCUUACUGCGCAUGGAAUAAUAGAAUAGGAAGUCGUUUCUAUUUUGUUGGUUUUCGGAAAUCGACUUAAUGAUUAAUAGGGAUAGUCGGGGGCAUUCGUAUUCAAACGACAGAGGUGAAAUUCUUGGACCGUUUGAAGACGAACUAAGGCGAAAGCAUUUGCCAAGAAUGUUUUCA
RNAcentral lists this ribosomal RNA (372 nucleotides) under marine copepod environmental sample. RNAcentral describes it as "SSU rRNA". It matches the Rfam family "Eukaryotic small subunit ribosomal RNA", at positions 587 to 972 of the family's 1831-position model. The record is from RNAcentral. Lineage: Eukaryota; Metazoa; Arthropoda; Copepoda.